Molecule: ribosomal RNA, 449 nt
Filed under: uncultured bacterium
Lineage: Bacteria
Description: partial 16S ribosomal RNA
Rfam family: Bacterial small subunit ribosomal RNA
Source: RNAcentral
AACGAACGCUGGCGGCAUGCCUAACACAUGCAAGUCGAACGAGAUCUUCGGGUCUAGUGGCGCACGGGUGCGUAACGCGUGGGAAUCUGCCCUUUGGUUCGGAAUAACAGUUGGAAACGACUGCUAAUACCGGAUGAUGACGAAAGUCCAAAGAUUUAUCGCCAGAGGAUGAGCCCGCGUAGGAUUAGCUAGUUGGUGUGGUAAAGGCGCACCAAGGCGACGCUCCUUAGCUGGUCGGAGAGGAUGAUCCGCCACACUGGGACUGAGACACGGGCCAGACUCCUACGGGAGGAAGCAGUGGGGAAUAUCGGACAGUGGGCGAAAGCCUGAUCCACGAAUGCCGCGUGAGUGAUGAAGGCCUUCGGGUCGUAAAGCUCUUUUACCAGGGAUGAUCAUGACAGUACCUGGAGAAUAAGCUCCGGCUAACUCCGUGCCAGCCGCCGCCGUAA